This 72-nucleotide transfer RNA is filed under the name Bacteriophage sp. RNAcentral describes it as "tRNA-OTHER". It matches the Rfam family "tRNA". From Rfam's summary of the family: Transfer RNA (tRNA) molecules are approximately 80 nucleotides in length. Their secondary structure includes four short double-helical elements and three loops (D, anti-codon, and T loops). The record is from RNAcentral.
UCCCCUAUGGUGUAAUGGUAACACUCGGAGCUCUAACCUCCGUAUUGCCCGUUCGAGUCGAGGCUGGGGGGA